AGAGUUUGAUCCUGGCUCAGGAUGAACGCUGGCGGCGUGCUUAACACAUGCAAGUCGAACGAAGCACUUUGGACAGAUUCUUCGGAUGAAGUCCUUAGUGACUGAGUGGCGGACGGGUGAGUAACGCGUGGGUAACCUGUCUCAUACAGGGGGAUAACAGUUAGAAAUGGCUGCUAAUACCGCAUAAGCGCACGGUACUGCAUGGUACAGUGUGAAAAACUCCGGUGGUAUGAGAUGGACCCGCGUUGGAUUAGCUAGUUGGCAGGGUAACGGCCUACCAAGGCGACGAUCCAUAGCCGGCCUGAGAGGGUGGACGGCCACAUUGGGACUGAGACACGGCCCAGACUCCUACGGGAGGCAGCAGUGGGGAAUAUUGCACAAUGGGGGAAACCCUGAUGCAGCGACGCCGCGUGAGCGAAGAAGUAUUUCGGUAUGUAAAGCUCUAUCAGCAGGGAAGAAAAUGACGGUACCUGACUAAGAAGCCCCGGCUAACUACGUGCCAGCAGCCGCGGU
Molecule: ribosomal RNA, 513 nt
Filed under: uncultured bacterium
Lineage: Bacteria
Description: bacterial SSU rRNA
Rfam family: Bacterial small subunit ribosomal RNA
Source: RNAcentral